AUGGGAGCUGCAGGAAGUUCUUCUCUGCUGCUGCCUUCACUUCUGCUCUGCUCACUUCUGCUUGACUUCUCUCUCGCCUUUUCUCUCAAGAACUGCACAGUAGUCUACUUAGCUGCUAAUGCUAAUGAUGUGGACGUGGACUGCUUGAACCGAGACCUGGCCAUCAUCCCAGACGACAUUCCCAGGAAUGCUAGGAUCCUGGAGCUGUCUGAGAAUGGAAUAAUGAGGAUCUCCAAGGUGGAUUUACGAGGCCUAUCAAAGCUCAAAAGUCUUAAGCUUAGCUUUAAUCUCAUCUCUCACGUGGAUGACGGAGCUUUUAUUGACUUGACAGAGUUGACGAAUCUCAACCUGUGCAAAAACAAACUGGAAGAGCUGACAGACGAGAUGUUUCUGGGUCUGUCUGGACUCAUCAAACUGCAGCUGUCAUUCAACCACAUCUCCUUCAUCUCUGCCGGAGCCUUUGAGCCUCUGCUCGCUGUACAACUCAUUGAGCUGAACGUCAACCGCCUGCAACAAAUCACCGAUGUCAUUCCAGCCCUUAAACUCACAACCUUGGAAUCUUUGGAACUCUGUCAGAAUAGGAUACUGUCUUUGCAAUCAGAUAACCUGCCUGCCUCGAACCUCAAGUCUCUGAACCUGAACGGUAACCCUCUGACCAAGUUCAGCCUCAGAGAAGACAUCCUCCCUCAGCUGCGGAACCUGAGCUUUGACGAAUGCACCGAGGACAUGGAGUGGGACGUAGCCAGCAAGACUUUUCUGAGGAGUCUGACACGGUUGUUUGUUGGAGGAACUAACAUUAACUUGACCUCUUACAUGGAAAUGUUACGGACUGCUGGCUCACUGCGAGAACUUGAGAUGUCUUCUAUGGAUACGGGGGUAAUAGACAGCCUCGUUGACACUGCCUGUCAAAUGUUUUCACUGAGAAGUCUUCUUAUAAGAGACAAUGAAAUAGAAAGCUUAGGAGACCUCCUGUUGAAGUCCUGCUCUGGCCUCACUGAGGCCAAUUUGACCUCUAAUGGCUUUGUCAGGAUGUCCAAACAUGCCUUCAGGUCCACCAAAAUCCUCACAGUUCUGUCACUACGAACCAACAAGCUGUCCAAACUGUCACUGGCUCUCCAGGUGCUGCCGAUGCUGGAAUACCUCGAUUUAAGCGAGAACAUCAUCAGUGAGCUGGACUGUCUGGACUUCCGAGAUCUGACCAGGCUGAAGAGCCUGAAUCUGAUGUCCAAUCGCAUCUCCGUCCUCCAGGGAUGUGUCUUUGAGAACCUGAUGGACUUGGAAGACCUGAAUAUUGGAGAAAAUGAGGUCAUUGAUUUUGGGGGCGCUUUCACUUUACCAUAUUUUGGGAAACUAAAGUCACUGAAUCUGCAUAAUAAUCACCUGGACGAACUUCAGCAAGGAGCCUUCAGUAGUCUGUCUUCUCUCAGAGAUCUGGAUCUAGAGUCGGACAGGAACUAUGCUGUGGAAUUGAACGUUUUUGAAGGACUUGAUGAUCUUGAAAGUCUGAGUGUGUCUCUGAUUGAGAAUGACAGAGAAUCUUUCGCUGGACUGCCACGUUUGAAAACUCUGAGUGUAUUUUUUAGCUUAAAGGUCGUACUGAGGAGCUUCAAACCAUUCGACAUCCUGCUGUUUUCAAGCCUGGCCAACCUGACAACUCUCAUUCUGAAAACGGAUCCGUUGUUUUUGGUUCCUAUUACAGCAGAUGUGCUGAGUGGACUGAAAUCUUUGGAACGACUCAUGACGGAGAACUUCUUCACAAACCCUUUACACCCAGACACUUUUAAGUACACCCCUCGACUGAGAAGUCUUCAGAUAAUUUACAGUAAUCUGUUACAACUGUCUCCGGAAGUCUUCUGGCCUCUCACAAACCUGGAGGAACUGGACCUCUCCAACAAUAACCUCAGGUCUUUGGACUUCCUAGCUGAAGCUAAGCUAUCAGCACUUAAGUUUCUGAAACUGAGUGAAAAUGAGGUGUCAAUCAUCAACGAGACCAUCUUCCUGUCCCUCCCUGCCCUGACUUACCUGGACCUGUCAGAGAACCCCCUGACAUGUGAGUGCUCCAAUUCUGGGUUCGUCCGCUGGGCCACAAGCAACAACCAGACACAGGUAGCUAAUGGCUACCGCUACAUUUGUGCUUUUCCCGUCAGCCAGCGAGAAGAACGGCUUCUGGACUUUGAUGUGCGCUCAUGUUGGAUGGAUGUGAGCUUCCUCUGCUUCGUCUCCUCUGCUGCUCUCGUCCUGUUGGUCCUCCUGUCUUCCUUCAUUCACCACUUCCUGAGGUUUCACCUCAUCUAUGCCUACUACCUCUUCUUGGCUUUCCUCUACGACAACAAGAGGAGGAAGGGCGACGUCGGCUGCCAGUAUGACGCCUUCGUCUCCUACAAUGUGUGUGACGAGGCCUGGGUCUACGAAGUGCUGGUUCCAGAACUGGAGGGACAGCAGGGCUGGAAGCUCUGUCUGCACCACAGAGACUUUGAACCAGGCAGGCCCAUCAUACAAAACAUCACAGACGCCAUCUACAGCAGCAGGAAGACGAUCUGUGUGAUCAGCCGCCACUACCUGCAGAGCGAGUGGUGUUCCAGAGAGAUCCAGAUGGCCAGCUACCGUCUGUUCGACGAGCACAGAGACGUGCUGAUCCUGCUGUUCGUGGAGGACGUCCCAGCCCACCGCCUCACUGCGUACCACCGCAUGAGGAGUGUGGUCAAGAGGCGGUCCUACCUGAGCUGGCCGCGGGCCGCUGGGCACCCCGCCGUCUUCUGGCAGAACGUACGGCGAGCUCUGGGGACGGACCGGGACCCCCGGGAUCAGAGUGACCUUUUGGGUGGACCCUAGUCCUUCAGCCACUCAGCAGUGUCCCGGUACAGUAGGAAGAACUGAACCCAGACCUACUGGAUCAGCAGUUUGAACAUGUCUUCACAUCCAGACAGCCGAGCUGUCAGUACAGUAGAGGGCAGUAGAGGACAGUAGAGGACAGUAGAGGACAGUAGAAGAGGGUUGGGGUCAGUAGAGGACAGUAGAGAGCAGUAGAGGACAGUAGAGGGCAGUAGAGGACAGUAGGGUGCAGUAGAGGGCAGUAGGGGGCAACAGAGGGCAGUAGAGGACAGUAGAAGAGGGUUGGGGCAGUAGAGGACAGUAGAGGUCAGUAGAGGACAGUAGGGUGCAGUAGAGGUCAGUAGAGGACAGUAGAGGACAGUAGAGGACAGUAGAGGUCAGUAGAGGGCAGUAGAAGAGGGUUGGGUCAGUAGAGGACAGUAGAGGUCAGUAGAGGACAGUAGAGGACAGUAGAGGACAGUAGAGGUCAGUAGAGGGCAGUAGAAGAGGGUUGGGUCAGUAGAGGACAGUAGAGGUCAGUAGAGGACAGUAGAGGACAGUAGAGGUCAGUAGAGGACAGUAGGGGACAGUAGAGGACAGUAGGGUGCAGUAGAGGGCAGUAGGGGGCAACAGAGGGCAGUAGAGGACAGUAGAAGAGGGUUGGGGUCAGUAGAGGACAGUAG
Molecule: RNA transcript, 3494 nt
Organism: Salarias fasciatus (jewelled blenny)
Lineage: Eukaryota; Metazoa; Chordata; Actinopteri; Blenniiformes; Blenniidae
Gene name: toll-like receptor 13
Exons: 4
Source: RefSeq, a predicted model, not a curated record